GGAUGCGAUCAUACCAGCACUAAAGCACCGGAUCCCAUCAGAACUCCGAAGUUAAGCGUGCUUGGGCGAGAGUAGUACUAGGGUGGGUGACCUCCUGGGAAGUCCUCGUGUUGCAUGCC
RNAcentral lists this ribosomal RNA (119 nucleotides) under Oryza sativa Indica Group (long-grained rice). Lineage: Eukaryota; Viridiplantae; Streptophyta; Magnoliopsida; Poales; Poaceae. The record is from RNAcentral.